This 1138-nucleotide unclassified non-coding RNA is filed under the name Claviceps texensis. Its description in RNAcentral is "sequence contains ITS1, 5.8S rRNA gene, ITS2, 28S rRNA gene". The stretch from base 535 to 1138 matches the Rfam family "Eukaryotic large subunit ribosomal RNA", at positions 1 to 628 of the family's 3401-position model. Lineage: Eukaryota; Fungi; Ascomycota; Sordariomycetes; Hypocreales; Clavicipitaceae. The record is from RNAcentral.
AUCAUUACCGAGUUUUCAACUCCCAAACCCACUGUGAACCUAUACCAAAAACGUUGCCUCGGCGGGACAUGCGCCCCGGACCGCCCCCCCCUCGCGGGGGAGGGCGCCGGAUCCCACGGCCGCCCGCCGGGGGCCCCAAACUCUGUAUUCCCAUAGCGGCAUGUCUGAGUGGAUUUAUCCAAUGAAUCAAAACUUUCAACAACGGAUCUCUUGGUUCUGGCAUCGAUGAAGAACGCAGCGAAAUGCGAUAAGUAAUGUGAAUUGCAGAAUUCAGUGAAUCAUCGAAUCUUUGAACGCACAUUGCGCCCGCCAGUACUCUGGCGGGCAUGCCUGUUCGAGCGUCAUUUCAACCCUCAGGCCCCCGGGCCUGGUGUUGGGGACGGCUCACGGGGGGGAGGCACAGCGCCCUCCCCCCCUGCCGCCCCCUAAAUGGAUCGGCGGCCACGCCGCGGCCCUCCCUGCGCAGUACAUACCACCUCGCAGGCGGCUGGCUCGGCGCGGCCACUGCCGUAAAACGCCCAACUUCUCCAGAGUUGACCUCGAAUCAGGUAGGAAUACCCGCUGAACUUAAGCAUAUCAAAAAGCGGAGGAAAAGAAACCAACAGGGAUUGCCCCAGUAACGGCGAGUGAAGCGGCAACAGCUCAAAUUUGAAAUCUGGCCCCCCGGGGCCCGAGUUGUAAUUUGCAGAGGAUGCUUUUGGCGAGGCGCCUUCCGAGUUCCCUGGAACGGGACGCCAUAGAGGGUGAGAGCCCCGUCUGGUCGGACGCCGAGCCUCUGUAAAGCUCCUUCGACGAGUCGAGUAGUUUGGGAAUGCUGCUCUAAAUGGGAGGUAUAUGUCUUCUAAAGCUAAAUACCGGCCAGAGACCGAUAGCGCACAAGUAGAGUGAUCGAAAGAUGAAAAGCACUUUGAAAAGAGGGUUAAACAGUACGUGAAAUUGUUGAAAGGGAAGCGCCUGUGACCAGACUUGCGCCCGUCGGAUCACCCAGCGUUCUCGCUGGUGCACUCCGGCGGGCGCAGGCCAGCAUCAGCUCGUCUCGGGGGACAAAGGCGGCGGGAACGUGGCUCCUCCGGGAGUGUUAUAGCCCGCCGCGCAAUGCCCUGGGGCGGGCUGAGGACCGCGCGUAAGCAUGAUGCUG